GCCAGACUCCUACGGGAGGCAGCAGUGGGGAAUAUUGCACAAUGGGGGGAACCCUGAUGCAGCGACGCCGCGUGGGCGAGGAAGUAUUUCGGUAUGUAAAGCCCUAUCGGCAGGGAAGAAGAAAUGACGGUACCUGAAUAAGAAGCACCGGCUAAAUACGUGCCAGCAGCCGCGGUAAUACGUAGGGGGCAAGCGUUAUCCGGAUUUACUGGGUGUAAAGGGAGCGUAGACGGUCCUGCAAGCCAGAUGUGAAAGCCCGGGGCUCAACCCCGGGACUGCAUUUGGAACUGUAAGGCUAGAGUGUCGGAGAGGCAGGCGGAAUUCCUAGUGUAGCGGUGAAAUGCGUAGAUAUUAGGAGGAACACCAGUGGCGAAGGCGGCCUGCUGGACGAUGACUGACGUUGAGGCUCGAAAGCGUGGGGAGCAAACAGGAUUAGAUACCCGGGUAGC
This 449-nucleotide ribosomal RNA is filed under the name uncultured bacterium. Its description in RNAcentral is "bacterial SSU rRNA". It matches the Rfam family "Bacterial small subunit ribosomal RNA", at positions 330 to 794 of the family's 1533-position model. The record is from RNAcentral.